GACGAACGCUGGCGGCGUGCCUAACACAUGCAAGUCGAACGGGGAGUUAGUAAUAACUCCUAGUGGCGAACGGGUGAGUAACGCGUAGAUAACCUGCCUCUAAACUGGGGACAACACCGCGAAAGUGGUGCUAAUACCGAAAGUGGUAUCUUGGUCGCAUGACUGAGAUAAGAAAGAUGGCCUCUGAAUAUGCUAUCGAUUAGAGAUGGGUCUGCGUCUGAUUAGCUAGUUGGUGAGGUAACGGCUCACCAAGGCGACGAUCAGUAGCCGGUCUGAGAGGAUGAACGGCCACACUGGGACUGCGACACGACCCAGACUCCUACGGGAGGCAGCAGUGGGGAAUCUUCCGCAAUGGACGAAAGUCUGACGGAGCAACGCCGCGUGAGUGAAGAAGGUCUUCGGAUUGUAAAGCUCUGUCGUUUGGGACGAACGUAUUCUAUGUGAAUAAUGUAGAGUAAUGACGGUACCAAAGGAGGAAGCCACGGCUAACUACGUGCCAGCAGCCGCAGUAA
This 512-nucleotide ribosomal RNA is filed under the name uncultured bacterium. RNAcentral's name for it is "partial 16S ribosomal RNA". It matches the Rfam family "Bacterial small subunit ribosomal RNA", at positions 28 to 523 of the family's 1533-position model. The record is from RNAcentral.